GCCGGGCGUGGUGGCACACGCCUGUAGUCCCAGCUGCUUGGGAGGCUGAGGCAGGAGAAUCGCUUGAACCUGGGAGGUGGAGGUUGCAGUGAACUGAGAUUGCACCACUGCACUCCAGCCUGGGUGACAGAGCGAGACUCUGUCUCAA
RNAcentral lists this non-coding RNA (148 nucleotides) under Pan troglodytes (chimpanzee). Lineage: Eukaryota; Metazoa; Chordata; Mammalia; Primates; Hominidae. The record is from Rfam by way of RNAcentral.